RNAcentral lists this long non-coding RNA (22963 nucleotides) under Nicotiana tabacum (common tobacco). RNAcentral describes it as "long non-coding RNA (NTAB_LNC003910)". The record is from RNAcentral. Lineage: Eukaryota; Viridiplantae; Streptophyta; Magnoliopsida; Solanales; Solanaceae.
UUAAAGUUGAACUACACAUAUAAAGGGAACUUCAAAUUUAAACUAAAUGGAUUUUCAACUAAAUUACGACUAUAAUAAGAAAUAAAAUUACAUAGUCCUGACUGAUUGAGUUAACUACACUUGAUGAAAUGCUAUAAUAACUGUAACCUUCGAUUUCAUCCACAACGCUUGUCAAUUUGACGAACAAUAGCUUACAACAUUUCAAAAUGGCUUGAUUUGGGUUUGAGACUCACAGAUCUGGCCUAUUGAUGGCCAGACCCAUAAGUUGAAGCCAUGACAUAACAUUAUCAGUCCUUCACAAAUAGCUUGACAUGUUGUCUUAACAAACCAUUAGGAAGUCUAUAGAUUAGAAUUCAUGAUCAACAAAUUAUGAUGUGGAGAUGCCAAUAAUAGAAACUAAUAGUAAUACAUGUGCUUAAGGACAUUCAUAACAGCAGCAAACAGGUCAGAGGUGAGCGAAUGCCAAUUCAAGCCAUUCAAAUACUUAGAACAUUGCAUAAGAAGAUAUAUAACAUCAUGUAAGCACAACGACCAUCUGAAUUUCACAGAUUUCAAGCUCAAAUUGAUUGUGCUAAGCUCAGAAUCAUACAAAGUUAUCAAUGUGUACCUUAAAGCAGCAAAAGUAAGUAGAAGAGAAAAUAAGUCUCUGAAAUUCUGAGAAGAAACAGCAGCAAGAACACAAAGCAGAAAAACCAAAACCACAGCAGCCUCAAACUCAGACCAUGAAUCCCAGCAAAAGAACAUUGGGAAAUGAAAAGAAACACAGCCUGGAUUUUUUUUCUUUUGUUUUCUAGCUUUAAACUUAAAAAGAAGAUCAGAUUGAAAAAUGAGGAGAAAGAGUCUUGGAAUAUUUUUUUCAGGGCUCUCUUGCGCGUCCGAAAAUUCCUGUUUUAGAAUGCAGAAUGAGUCCUAUUAUAUAGGCUGUGUGUGUGUAAUCAGAGAGAAUGAGAGAGAGUCCCCAAAAAAAAUAGAAUUUGUCAGGCCCUCACUAAAAUUUAGGAAAAUAGCAUCUUUCAAAACUGAAUUUGGACAAUUGUCCUUGUUUCUAGAUGGUUCUUUUUAUUUCUUACCAUUUAACUUCUGAAAAUUAUUUCUUGUGACCCCAACUUGAAAUGAACUCUGAUUUUUAAAAAAAAAUGCAUUUUAGUCCCUUCUAGAGACUUCCCCAACAAACAAAUCAGAUUCCCUAAUUUUCCAAAUCCCUUUGACCCCUUUAACUCCUAUUAAUUACACAUGAGUCAUAGCAGAAAGAAAUCAUGUAAAUCAGUCCCAAUAAACAAAGAAGCAAAAUUAAUCUAAUUAACUCAAUAAUUAAGACUAAUUAGCAUGCAAUUGAGCUGUUAAAAUCACAUAAACCCUUAAAACAAAACAGACAUGUUGCGCCUUAAAACAAAUAGCCAAAAUGUUAAUUUACUGUUAAUUAACUAAUUACUAAGCUAAACUAAUUAAACUGAGAUAAACGUUCAUCAAACAAGUUCUGAUUAAACACCUAAAACACAUUGUUCUUCUCUCUUUUUUUUUAAUCUUUCUUAAAGCAAACAAAAUAACAAAACAAGAUAAAGAGGGCAAGGAUGUACCUAGUAAAGAAAAACAAAACUACCCAUCUUGAAGCGAAACAAGAGGCUCGACCGGAUUCCGAUGAUUCCGUAAUAAACUAAAGCUUACAUUAAUUAAUUGUUCUUGACAAGAACAAAUAAUUAAUGUUAGUUUCAACUCAAAACAGCUUGAACUUGAUGAAGGAAUCGGAAAGAACUAAAUUAGGUUUUCUGGCCGAUUUUAGAUCUAAAAUUCGAGGAUUUUGAGUGGUGUUUUAGGAAAAUUGAAGGUAGAUUUGGAUUGAGGAUGAAGUGAGGAGUGUGGGGUGUGAAUUUGGGCGGAUUUGGAGGUCGUUUGGUGGUGCCAAGAUGGCGACCGCUGGUGGAGGUUUGUGGGAGUUUGGGGGCGGCUAGGGUUAGGCUGAGGGAGAGAGAUGGAGAAGUGAGAGGGAUCUGAGGGGUUUGGAAGAGGGGGGGGGGUCUCCGACAGAUAUAGGGGAUUGGAGAGUGGAGUUGUGGGUCGUUCGAUCAAAGGAAAUCAACGGCUAAGAUCGACGUUACGAAAACGACGUCGUUUUGGUUUAGUGAGGAAUCUGGACCGGAUUGGGGAGGCGUUGGACCUGGGCCGCGUGAGUUUGAGGGGAAUCUUAGCAGUUGGGCUUCCUUGAGAAUGGUCCAAUACAAAUACAACCCCUUUUCUUUCUUUGUUUUUCUCUUUCUUUUCCUUUAAUUUAAAGUUCUAAUCAAAUUAAUUAAAAACUAAAUUAAAUCCUAAUUUAAAUCUAAUUUGUAGAAAUAAACUUAGUUAUCUAUUUUACUAUUUAAAUAAUUAAUUAAUUUAAACUAAUGAAAGCAAAAUUACUAAUUUGCAAUUAAGAGCUAAAAUGUAAAAAUGACCCAUAUUUUUUGUGAUUUUUCGUUUAAUAAUGCAAUUAACUCAUGUAAUUAAAUAAUAAUAUGCAAUUAAAUCUAAGAUGCUAUGCAAUGAAUAUUUUAUAUAUUUAUGGUAUUUUUUAUAAUUUUAAAUAUUAAAUAAGUAACUAAAUGCAGACAAAAUUAACCAAAAAAUCCUAAAAUUCAAUAAAAACGAAAAUAAUUUAGAAAGAUCUACUUUUGAACUUUGUAGGAGUAAUUUUAGGAAGACAAAAAUCAGGUGCUCACAACUGCCCCUCUUUGCUCCGAAACACGAAGAGUUUUUGGGCAAAGAUAAAGUGAGCAAAUACGAGCAAUUUUUUGUCCUUUUGGAUACUCCAUGGGAAGCGUUAUUAAAAAGUCUGACUGAACCUUGCUUCGGAGGUUGUCUACAUAUUCUUGGCUAUAAAGGAAUCAAGUCAGUGUAGUUCUGAAAGUUUUAGUAGCUGGGACUACCGAGAAGCUGUGAUUUCACUGUUGUUGCUGUUGUUACUGCUUGCUGACCUCAUUAUUAUACCAAAAUCAAAAUGAAAAAAAACUAAGCAAGUCUAUCAGCUAUGAGUUACAAGAUUCCUAUCUAUAUGUGAUGACCCAAAAUGUCAUCUUUUUUUAAUGAUUAAUUUUGUGUUCUAAGACCUCGAAAAUAAAAAUACUAUUUAUCAUUACUCGACUUGCGUGCGCAGUUCGUAAAAUUUUUCAGAAAGUUUUUAUGUGAAAAUGGAUUAAAAUAUGAAUUAGAGCUUUAAAACUCAACUGAGUUGACUUUGGUCAAUAUUUUGAGCAAACGAACUCGGAUCAGUAUUUUGAUAAUUCCGGUAGGUCCGUAUCGUGAAUUGGGACUUAGGCGUAUGCCCGGAAUUAAAUUCUGAGGUUCCUAGCCCGAGAUAUGGAAGUCCGUAGUGGAAUUAGGCUUGAAAUUUCGAAAGUUGAAUUUUAAGAAAGUUUGACCGAGGGGGCUGACUUUUUGAUAUUGGGAUCGAAAUCUGAUUCUGAAAAUUUUCAUAGCUCCGUUAUGUCAUUUAUGACUUGCGUGCAAAAUUUGAGGUCAAUCGGACUUGAUUUGCUAGGUUCCGGUGUUGUUUGUAGAAAUUAAAAGUUUCAAUAUUCAUUAGGCUUGAAUCUAUGUGUGAUUCAUAUUUUUAGUGUUGUUGGAUGUGAUCUGAAGAUUCGACUAAGUUCAUAUGGUGUUUUAGAACUUGUUGGUAUAUUUGGUUGAGGUCCCGAGGGCCUCGGGUGUGUUUCGGAUGCUCAACGGGUCAUUUUUGGACUUAGAGAAGUAGCAGAUUUUUCUGGUUUUUGUUGCAGAAGAUUGUUCUUCGCGUUCGCGAACGUGUGGUCAGUGGAAGCAUCACGAAAGCGAGGAGUAGGACGCGUUCGCGAAGAGUGUUUUCUGAGUGUGAGGUUUUGUUCUUCGCGUUCGCGAAGGGGAGGACGCGAACGCAAAGGUAUGGUCUGUGUGUGCAUCGCGAACACGUGAGUGGCGUCGCGUUCGCGAAGGAGAGCGAGGCAAGGAUCGCGUUCGCGAAGAAGAAACCACUGGACAGAAUGUUUAAGUUCAAAAAUGGGACUUCGUCCCAUUUUUCAUUUUUAACGAUUUGGAGCUCGGAUUGUGGCGAUUUUUGAGAGAUUUUCAGAUAAAACGUUGGGGUAAGUGUUCUUAACUCAAUCUUUGUUAGAUUACCCGAAUCUAUCACUGUUUUUAACAAUUAAUUGGUGAUUUAAGUUGAAAAAAAUUCGAAAACCCUCUUGGAUAGAUUUGAGGAUUUGAGGGUCGAACUGUUAUUGGAAUUUAGUCAUUUUGGUAUGAUUAGGCUCGUGGUUGAAUGGGCGUUCAUAUUUCGUAACUUUCGUCGAAUUCCGAGACAUGGGCCCCAUGGGCCAUUUUUGAGUUAAUUUCGGAUUUUUAUUGAAAAUGUAAUAUUUUCUUAUAGAAUUAAUUCUAUAAUUUUUGUUGACUGUAUCAAAUUAUUUAUGACUAGAUACGAGUCGACCGGAAUCGAAAAAUCGAGGAAAAGGCAUAUUACUUGAUUAAAUUGGAGCAAGUCGAGGUAAGUGACUUGUCUAACCUUGUGUGGGAGAAAUUCCCCUAGGAUUGGUAUUAAAUGUAAUGUGAUGAAAGUCGUGUACACGAGGUGACGAGUGUGUACACGGACUAAAUGUGAAGGAUUAUGUGUUCAAAUAAUGAAGAUCUUUGUUGCAUAUUAAUUAAAUUAUUAAAUCUUGAUAUAUUCUCCAUUAUUGAUUUGAUUUGUAUACCUUAAAUUUGCUUGACUUUUUCCUGCUAAUUGUUUUACCUGUUUAAUUGAAACUUGGUUUCUUUUAUAUUGUGCAUUAUUUGAAGGUUAAUUUUCUUUAAAUUAAAUAUUAUUAAUAUGAAGUAUUUGACAUUUCUAAAUUUGAUAUUGAAGCAACGUAUUAAAGAUUUUGAAAUAUUAUUUUUCUGAAUUAUUUAUUCCUGAAUAUUUCGUAAGAUUUUUGAAUUAUUUUGGUAUGAGCCGUGAGCUCUUUAUUAUUGAAAAAUAUUGUUGAUGAUUUAUUUUUGAAAAAAUUAAAAUAUUGGGCACUUGAGGUGCAGAUUGUGAUAUAUUGUGAUAUUGAUAUGCAUGCGGUGGUAUAAGGUCUGGGUAUUGAAACGCAUGCGGUAAGAUAUGGGUGGCUUGAUACGCGUGGCUAGUAGGGGUGACUACUAGAAUUCAUGCGGUGUGAUUAGGGUGGCUAAAAUGCGGGAUGCUAUUUCGAAAAAAAUAUUUUAUUUAAAUGAAUUGUGAAGGCUCCCGCGGUGAUAUAAGAAAAUGAGAUAUUGUGAAUUUAUUUAUGAUUUGGGACUACGAGGCGGUACCUCGGUAGUGCCCUUGUUGAUAUUGAUUUAUGGCCAUAGUUGCCUUCGAUUAAUUGUUGUGAUUUUCAUAAAGUUAAAAGGAAUUCUGUUUUGAUUCCACGAGAUAUUAUUUGCAAUUAUUUGGUGUCAUUAAAUGUAACAUACUAUUUGAUUCAUUUCCAUCGUCAUUUUAUCUUAUUAAAUUGUUUAAACAUUUUUUCCAUGUCAUUAUCUAUUCUCCAGUAGGGCCUGACCUGACCUCGUCACUACUCUACUGAGGUUAGGCUUGGCACUUAUUGGGUACCGCUGUGAUGUAUUCAUACUACGCUUCUGCACAACCUUUUGUGCAGAUCCAAGUACAUCUUACCAGUCUAGACGUCAGUGAGUUACCUGCACACGGAGACUUCGAGGUAUAUCUGCCAGCGUCCGCAGACUCCGGAGUCCCCUUCUGUCAUUUUAUGUUGCUUUCUUAUUUUUCUUUAGACCUUGAUACAUAGCAACAUUGAGAAUAAAUUUUUAAAAGCUUGUGACUGAUUUCUACCGGGUUUUGGGAGUUGUAAUUAUUUGAAUUGUAGUUUAUUUAUUUCAGAUAUUUAUGAUUAUUCCGCAUUAAUAGGCUUACCUAGUCUUAGAGACUCGGUGCCAUCACGACCUCCCACGGAGGGAAUUUGGGGUCGUGACCCUAUAGGUCUUCAGAAACUUGAUUUUGAAUCUUCUACAGUUCUGUUGUGCAUCUCGAAUUGUCGACUCGCAUUUUUGAGGCGAGCUUCUGCUACCUCUAACUUGAAUUGACCCUAUUCUUCAGGCGGGCUCCUACUACUGUCUUAAAGGUUGAAGUUAAUUCUGAAGUGACUUCCCUCGUUUUUCAGGUGGGUGCCUGAUGCUGACUUAAAAAUUAAAAUAAAUUCCCUCGUUCUCCAGGUGAGCGCCUGAUGCUGACUUAAAACUUGAAAUAAUUUCCCUCAUUUUUCAGGUGGGCGCAUGAUGCUGACUUAAAAUUGAAAUUUUCAGGUGGGCGCCUGAUAAUUACUUGCACUUGAAAUAAGUUCCCCCAUUCUCUAGGUGGGCGCAUGAUGCUGACUUAAAACUUGAAAUAAUUUUCCUCAUUUUCCAGGUGGGCGCCUGCCAAUGACUUGAACUCGAAAUAAAUUCCCUCAUUUUUCAGAUGGGCGCCUGCUCAUGACUUGAACUGAAAUGAAUUCCCUCAUUUUCCAGGUGGGCGCCUGCUCAUGUCUUGAACUUGAAAUAAACUCCCUCAUUCUCCAGGUGGGCGCCUGCCAAUGACUUAAAACUUGAAAUAGAUUCCCUCAUUCUCCAGUUGGGCGUCUGCUGACUCAAAACUUGAAAUAAAUUCCCUCGCUUUCCAGGUGGGUUCCUAAUGUUGACUUAACAUUUGAAAUGAAUUCCCUCGUUGUCCAUGUGGGCGCCUGCUCAUGACUUGAACUUGAAAUAAACUCACUCAUUCUCCAGGUAGGGCGCCUGCGCUGACUUAAAACUUGAAAUGAAUUCCCUCAUUCUCCAGGUGGGCGCCUACAAUCACAUUAACACAGACAAAACAAAGAAACUUUUUUGCCCCAGUUCGUACCAGGAACCUUCAUUGAGUGUUAGUUGAAUCCCAUUAUCCAGGAGGGUCCUGAAAAUUAAAAACUAGAUCCCAUUGUCUAGGAGGAUCCUGAAAAUCUGAACUUAUCUGGAACAUGCUUUCCUCAUGGAGUAUCCCUAUACAGCAAACACAAUUUGUUACCCAUGUUUCACUCAAAGAAAAUUUCGUCAGUUUUAAAAUGUGGUGGUUAGUUUGUGGCAUCCUUGUUGAAGGUAUCUUCUUCUGCCGCUACCACGCUUAAUUCUGAUUAGCUGCUUCGGCUAACAAAGAAUUGUUUGACAUUUUUGAUCGAUCCUUGACCACAAAAAACCUCUGAAUCUGAAUCCCUUACACUCAACUUGUUAUAUGGUACUUUUAUUUUGACAAUUGUUGAACCUUUGCAUUUCCUUAAAAUUCACGAAUCACUUGACCACCUGAACUUCAAUUACCGCCACAUUGCUCAUUUUGAAUCAUGUCACUUGUGAUGUGUUUGGCUGAAUCUCGCUUGGUGCAAUUAAAAAGUUGGUAAUGGGCUUUAAAGUCCUUUCUUUCUUGCAUAACAAAGACUAACUUGGCAGGGACUUAGAAAAAUAGACCCAAAAGAAAACGAAGCGAAGUGACUUCGAGAAUUAGGAAUAAAGUAGAAAUUUUUGAACAAAUAUGACUAUUUGAAGAAAAAUGGAAAAGAGACUUAUCUGAAUGAAGCAGUUGGCUCCAAUGAUCAUGACGUGCAUUUCGGAUUGAUCAGCCAAAUCCAUCCAACUAAUCACAUUUUAGUUCAUGCCAUUUCUUCAUACUUCAAACCGGGUUUCCAUAAUUCAAUUUCUCUGUAAAGUCAUGAACCUCAAUCGGCUUGUAGUGCCCCGAGGGCCAGCAAACCUCUCUCAUUUGCUCCUAUUUCAACUUACAGUUGCCUUACAGUGCCCGUAAGAGUUUUCACCAAUAAGACUCUCUCAUUAUGAAUUUUCUCUCAACUCACCAUCGCCCUACGGUGCCCGUGAGGGUUUUCACCAAUAAGACUCUCUCAUUUAUUCAUUUUUCCUUAUGCCCAUGAACAAAGGUGCUACCCAUGAUGUAAAUCAUACCUCUAUCUCACUUGACUUGGCAUCCUAAAAGUUGAUCAGAAGGUCUUUCUUUAGACUGUAGUGUAGGUUUUGGACAGGGUUAGAAAGAAAGGGUGGCAUGAAGGCUCAAAAUAAUUUAAGAUGAAGGGGUUCAAGAUUACAACUUUUGGAAUCAGAUCUUUUUAUAAAACUAAAACUUCUGCCCCAGUUUCUUCGAAUCUGGGGAAUUUUGAAUUUUUAUUUUGAUGGGACCGACCCAUAUAAGGCUGUCUACGUAUCCUUAACAGGAAUCAGGUCGAACGUAGUUCAAACUAGUAAAAGUUGUUUAUUUUUGUUACUUUGCUUUUCUUUUCUUUUUUUUUCUCCUUUCUUUUUCUCUUUUCUUUCUUUUGCUUUUCUCUUCUUCUUCUUCUUUUUUUUAUUUUUCUUUUCUAUUUCCAACUCUACUUCUGAUUCCAAAAGAGGGGUAUGAAAGAAAAUAAAUAAGGCUCAAAAAGGGGUAACAAAUGAUAAAAUUAUUUGGGAUAGCAGAAUAAAAUGCCUUCGUCAUUCCAACUUUGAAACAUGCCUAGUACAAAAUGCGAUUGAAGAUAAGUAAAGAAAUCAUACAUAAUAUCUCUUGGCUGCAUCAGAAUUGAUAGCCAUAUCCACACAUUUACCUUCUAUGUAUGUUAAAUACAAAGCACCAUUGGGCAACACCUUUGUCACAAUGAACGACCCCUGCCAGUUUGGGGCGAACUUGCCUUUAGCUUCAGCCUGAUGUGGAAGAUGCGUUUCAAUACCAGCUGGCCCAAUUCAAAUUUCCGGGGACGCACCUUCUUGUUGUAUGCUCUUGCUAUUCUUUUCUGAUACAAUUGACCACGACAUACUGCUGCCAAUCUUUUUUCAUCAAUCAAACUCAACUGCUCUAGUCGAGUUUUGACCCAUUCAUCAUCAAUUCCAGCUUCAGCAACGAUCCGAAGGGAUGGAAUCUCAACUUCUGCAGGUAUAACUGCCUCAGUUCCAUAUACCAGCAAAUAAGGAGUUGCACCUACUGAAGUACGAAUAGUAGUGCGAUAACCUAGUAAAGCAAAAGUAACUUUUCAUGCCAUUGCCUGGAACCUUGCACCAUCUUACGAAGUAUCUUCUUUACGUUCUUGUUAACAGCCUCAACGGCUCCGUUUGGCUUAGGACGAUAUGGAGUGGAGUUGAUGCAUAAUCUUGAAUUGUUGACAUACCUCUUUCAUCAAAUGAUUGUUGAGGUUAGCAUCAUUGUCUGUGAUGAUUACCUUGGGAAUUCCGAACCGGCAGAUGAUAUUUGAAUGAACAAAAUCUACCACCGCCUUCUUGGUCACGGACUUGAAAGUUACAGCUUUGACCCACUUGGCAAAGUAAUCAAUGGCCACCAGAAUAAACCUAUGCCCAUUUGAUGCUGCCAGCUCAAUUGGUCCAAUGACAUCCAUGCCCCAAGCAACAAAGGGCCAAGGUGCAGACAUUGUGUGUAACUCGGAUGGAGGGGAAUGAAUCAAAUCACCAUGCACCUGGCAUUGAUGACAUUUGCGAACAAAGUUGAUGCAAUCUCGUUCCAUGGUGAGCCAAUAAUAACCUGCUCAAAGAAUCUUCUUUGCCAAGACAUACCCACUCAUAUGCGGUCCGCAAACUUCGGAAUGCACUUCGGCCAUGAUGGUAAAAGCUUGUUUAGCAUCUACGCACCUUAGUAGUCCUAGAUCUGGAGUCCUCUUGUACAAGAUUCCCCCCAUUUAAUAAAAAUCCACUAGCCAGACGUCGAAUGGUUCUCUUUUGAUCACCUAUGGCAUGUACCGGAUAUACCCCCGACUUGAUGUAUUCUUUGACAUCAUGGAACCAAGGCACACCAUCAAGUUCCUCCUCAACCACAUUGUAAUAGGCAUGCUGAUCACGGACUUGGAUAUGCAGAGGGUCGACAUAAGUCUUAUCUGGAUGGUGUAACAUUGAUGCUAGAGUAGCCAAAGCAUCGGCGAUCUCAUUAUGAAUCCUGGGAAUAUGCCUGAAUUCUACUGACCUAAAUCGUUGACAAAGAUCAUGCAGACACUGUCGAUACAGUAUGAGCUUCAAAUCCCGAGUCUCUCAUUCUCCCUGAAUCUGGUGAACCAACAAAUCUGAAUCUCCCAAAACCAAUAUUUCCUGAACUCCCAUGUCUAUAGCUAGUCUCAAACCCAGAAUGCAUGCCUCGUACUCAGCCAUGUUGUUGGUGCAAUAAAAUCAAAGUUGAGCUAUUACGGGGUAGUGAUGCCUUGUUUCAGAAAUGAGUACAACCCCUAUUCGGACGCCUUUCAUGUUAGCAGCUCCAUCAAAGAAGAGUUUCCAACCUGGCUUUUCCUCAUGGUCAACCUCGUCAACAUACAUUACCUCUUCAUUAGGAAAAUAAGUCUUCAAUGGUUCAUACUCUUCAUCCACCGGAUUCUCGGCCAAGUGGUCGGCCAAGGCUUGGGCUUUCAUCGCGGUCCGGGUCACAUAGAUGAUGUCAAAUUCUGUGAGUAAAAUCUGCCACUUUGCAAGUCUUCCUGUGGGCAUAGGCUUCUGAAAGAUAUACUUUAGAGGAUCCAUACAAGAAAUGAGAUAAGUAGUGUAGGAUGACAGAUAAUGCUUUAAUUUUUGUGCUACCCAAGUCAGGGCGCAACACGUCCUUUCAAGAAGAGUAUACUUAACCUCAUAAGGAGUGAACUUUUUGUUGAGAUAAUAAAUGGCUUGCUCUUUCUUGCCUGAGAUGUCGUGUUGACCCAGUGCACAACCAAAAGAAUUAUCCAGGACUGUCAGAUAGAGAAUCAAAGGUCUCCCAUGCUCUGGCGGUACCAGCACAGGUGGGUUUGACAGGUACUUCUUGAUCUUAUCAAAUGCUUCCUGACACUCGUCAGUCCACUUAACCGCAGCAUUUUUCCUCAACAACCUAAAAAUGGGCUCAGAAGUCGUUGUGAGUUGAGCAAUAAACCUGUUGAUGUAGUUUAACCUCCCGAGUAGGCUCAUCACCUCAGUUUUAUUCUUUGGAGGUGGUAAUUCUUAGAUGGCCUUGAUCUUUGACGGGUCCAACUCAAUACCGCGUCGACUGACUAUGAAUCCCAAUAGUUUUUCGGACGGGACACCAAAUGCACAUUUCGCUGGAUUGAGCUUGAGGUUGUACCUACGGAGCCUUUGGAAAAACUUUCUCAAAUCCCCAACAUGGUCGGACUGCUUCUUUGAAUUUAUGAUCACAUCAUCUACAUAAACCUCAAUUUUCUUGUGUAUCAUGUCAUGAAAUAUGGUAGUCAUUGCCCUUAUGUAAGUUGCCCCAGCAUUCUUCAAACCGAAUGGCAUUACCCGGUAGCAAUAUGUCCCCCAUGGCGUGAUGAAUGCUAUCUUUUCUCCGUCUUCUUCAUCCAUCAGGAUCUGGUGAUAUCCUGCAUAGCAAUCCACAAAAGACCCGAUCUCGUGCUUGGCACAAUUGUCAAUCCAAAUGUGGAUGUUUGGUAAUGGAAAGUUAUUCUUUGGACUUGCCUUGUUGAGAUCACGAUAAUCAAUACAUACCCUGGUCUUAUCAUCUUUCUUUGGUACUGGCACAACAUUAGCUAACCAAGUGGGAUAUCGAGUGACCCGAAUGACCUUUGCGUCAAGCUGCAUUGUGAUUUCUUCUUUGAUCUUCACACUCAUGUCAGUCUUGAACUUCAUUAACUUUUGCUUGACUGGAGGGAAUGCCGGAUCAAUUGGCAAUUUAUGAACUACCAAAUCAGUGCUCAAACCCAGCAUGUCGUCAUACGACCAUGCAAAAGUAUCUUUAUAUUCAAAUAGUGCUUUGAUUAUUUCUUCCUUGAUUUGCGGUUUCAGAUGCACACUUAUCUUGGUUUCCCUGAUAUUAUCUUGAUCUCCUAAAUUGAUUGCUUCAGUUUUAUUCAGAUUAGGCUUGGCUUUUUCUUCAAAGUGAUUUAGUUCUCUACUGAUUUCCUGAAAUGCUGCUUCUUCAUCAUAUUCUGUUUCAUCACACUCUACUUCUUGGAUUGUUAUUUUAGAAUUAGAUUGGCUUUUAAGAUUUGGCUGAAAAUUCCUCAUGCAUGUCAUGUCAUUGAAACCAGCAUAAAAAGAAUUGUACAGAAAAAAAAAGAAACAAAAACAAAAAUGAAACGCUAUUAGGAAUAAUGGAAAAACGGAAAAUUGUAUUUCAUUGAAAAUAAAAAGAUAGAAAGGUUUGUACAUCAAAACAAGCAAACAUAAAAAUCUGGAUUACAACCCUGGGAUAAAUAAAAUGACAGAAAGGAAAACAAAGAAAACUACUAAAACUCCUUCCGGGUGGGGAGAGGAGUAGCUUUCCAAUUUCUAAGCUUCACAUUUGGCCCAACAAGCUGCACAUCGGCAUUACUGGAGCCUUCCCCGAUUUCUACCAUAUUAACCUCAUCAAAAAGACUCUGGAAUCUCUUGAUCAGCUCUUCAUCAAAGUCGACCACAGGUUUUGGGACUGCUGAUAUUGGGUGUUUUGCGAUCCCUGGCUUGACAAAAGACUUGGAGAUGUGUGGAACAGGAUUAGGAAGUGACCAUGCCUUUCUGUUCAAAUUUUUAGCCCUUUUCACGUCCUUCCCUGUGAGUGUGAAUCCCAAACCAAAUAUACCGAAACUUUCAUGUGGACACAUCGGAUGUGCAAUACCUUGCAGAGAUGAACCCAGACCUUUGCCUGGCACAAAAUCAUUCUUCAAUAUUUCAUUUGCUACCGUGACGGACGCGGAGGGUAGCUUUGGACCCGUAAUGCAUCCUCCCUCAGGAAUCUUCUCGACAGAUACUGUUUUGAACGUUUGGUAAACCCAUGGCCCUUUAUCAUCUUCAGCUUCAAUAAAUGGAACAGUUGUGUCAUUGUAAGCAGAUAAGUUCUCAUCACCGUGCACAACUAUUUCCUGCCUGUCCCAUUCGAACUUUACCAUUUGAUGCAGAGAAGACGGGAUUGCCUUGGCAGUAUGUAUCCAGGGCCUGCCCAAUAACAAGUUGUAGGAGACAGCCACAUCUAGCACUUGGAACUCCAUAGUGAACUCAACUGGCCCUAUUGACAAUUCGAGCAUUAUAUCACCGACAAAAUCUUUCCCUCCUCCAUCAAAGCCUCGAACACAUAUAUUGUUCAUGUGGAUCCUUUCAGUGUCAAUCUUCAACUUUUGCAAAGUGGACAGAGGGCAAAUAUUUACACUAGAACCGUUAUCGAUCAGUACCCUUGAGACAGCAGAAUCCUCGCACUUCACUGUGAGAUAAAGGGCUCGGUUGUGUUCUGUACCCUCCAUAGGAAGUUCAUCAUCUGAGAAAGUGAUCAUGUUUGCUUAGAAGAUCUUGUUAGCAAUCUUCUCCAGGUGGUUCACCGUGAUCUUAUCAGGAAUAUGGGCCUCAUUCAAAAUCUUCAUCAGGGCUUUGCGGUGUUCAUCUGAAUGUAUCAGCAAAGACAAAAGAGAGAUCUGAGCUGGUGUUUUCCUUAACUGCUCCAUAAUGGAAUAGUCUUGCAUUUUCAUCUCUUUCAAGAACUCUUCAGCCUCUUCUUCGGUGACCGGCUUCUUUACUGAGAUGUGGCCAUCCUUGAAUGGCUUGGAUUUCCUCAGUUCCUCUAGGUAAAACAUCUCCCAGAACGAGUCAGCCCUCCGGUUUCAUUGACUUCUUCCUCUACUUUUUUCCCUUUAUAUGUCACUAUCACUUGUUUGUAAUUCCACAGGACGACCUUUGUGUCAAUCAUUGGUAACUGGGUCACUGGCUUAAUAAUAACGAAGGUAAUACGAGCCCCUUCCACGAUUAUGACAGGCUUGCCCGGGAUCCCUAGCACGACCACUUUUUGCUUUUCCUGUUUCGCUUCACCAUCAAUCGGAGGCCCUUUCACAACCAAUACAGAUGGCUUCACGUUGAGCGUGCUUAGCUUCUCCGACACCCCUUCAAUUGUCAAAGGCAUUUCUUUUGCAUAAUCUGGAUCUUUAACUGGAUUACUUUCGCUAGCUCAGAUCAUCAUGAUAGACUUGGAAGAAUUAUUGGGCUCCCCAUCCUUAUGAACUAUCUCAAUCAUAUGUGUCUCUGUAUGGGCUGGCAAAGGAUUUUGGUUGAUGUUUGGCACCUCCGGGCUCUGGACCACAAUUUAAUUUGUAUCAAUGAGCUCUUGGAUCGCCUCUUCAAAUGCCAACACUUCUCUGUGUCGUGCCCUGGGGCAUCAGAACAAUAUGCGCAUCUGAGGGAACAAUGAAGGUUCCUUGGAGGUGGAUUUGGUAUCUUUGGCUCAAUCGGCCUCAAAACGUCCAAUUGCCUCAACCUUUGAAACAAAUUGGUAUAUGACUCUCCAAGAGGGGUGAAGGUUUCUUUCCGCUGCUGCCUUUCUUUUCUAUAAUCCGGCCUUGGUCGAAAUCUUGGACCAGUUGGGUUUCGGUAUAGUUGUGGGGGUGGAUAAGGAUUUUGUGGAGUUGGAGCACGCCAUUGCGGGUAAGGAGGGGGUUGCGUAUAUGACUGUGCAUGGUAAACAUGGUAUUAGGAUGGUCUGAGUGAAUAUUCAGGGUCUUGUGGUGGGAGAUAAUGUUGGGAUGGAUUAUAUGGAGCUUGGGUGUAGGCUUGGGGUCGAGGUUGGGUGUACUGGUGAGGCGAAUCCGCUGGGCCACGCCAUGAUCCAGAGACAAACAUAGCGACAUCAUCUUUCUUCUUUUUGCCUAACAGGCUUCCGGUGCCACUUUGAAUUGCCUGUGUGGUUGCUUUUAUGGCGGAGUAGCUCAUGAUCUUGAUUUACUUGAGUCCUUCUUCCACCAUUCCUCCCAUCUUUACCACAUCGUUGAAAGACUUACCUAUGGCUGAGAUCAAAUGGCUAAAGUAAGUAGGCUCUAGGGCUUGAAGAAAGUACUCGACCAUCUCUUCUUCUUCCAUUGGAGGAUUGACCCGUGCAGCUUGUUCUCUCCAUCUGAAACCAUAUUCCCUAAAGCUCUCGCUGGGCUUCUUCUCUACCUUGGUCAAAGAUAGGCGAUCCGGGACAAUGUCUAUAUUAUACUGAAAGUGCCGAGCAAAGGCCUGAGCCAAGUCGUCCCAUAUGUACCACCUGCUAGCGUCUUGGCGGGUGUACCAUUCCAAAGUUGCCCCACUCAGACUCCGACUGAAAUAUGCCAUUAAUAAUUCGUCUUUCCUACCAACGCCUCUCAUCUUGCUGCAAAAGCCUCUCAAAUGGGCCAUGGGAUCUCCAUGUCCAUUGUACAGGUCAAACUUGGGCCUCUUGAAGCCAGCGGGCAGUUGGACAUCAAGGAAUAAGCAUAAAUCCUUAUAAGCCACACUUACUUGGCUUCCUAUCCCUUGCAUGUUAUUCAAAGAUUGCUCUAAACUCUUCACUUUCCUGAAUAUCUCAUCUUGCUCCACGUUACGGGAUUAUUUCUCAGUUUCAACAGGAGGUUCAAAGUGAGGGGUGUAGGGAUAAGGAUCUGUGACUUUAAAAGUUGGUAUCUGGAGCUUGGAACGUAGGUUCACUAGAAGAUCGGUGGAGGGUAGCUUGCGGAGGAGCUACAAAAACAGGAGCAGAUGUCGGGGCAGGGUAUGCAGUUGUUUUGGCUGGUGGAGCGUGGAAAGUUUGGGACGAGGCGUCGGGGUAGUGGUGGUAAGGGGUAAAGCCCGGUGCAUGCUGAGGGGAAAGAUCAACGGUAAUGGGAUCCUGGGCUUGUGACAGUGGUGGGAUGAAAGCGGGAUUUUCUAUGUAGUUAGCGGGGAAUGAAGGUGGAGGAUGCCCCCUGAUCCAUGCUUGAUACAUUUCUGCCAUUUGAUGCUUCAACCUGUGGACCUCUUCUUUCAGUCCAGAUUCGGAUUCUACCAUCUCCCUCGGUGGGUCAACAACUCCCGUAUCUGUUUCUUUGCUGGCCAUGACUUCCUUGCGCUUUGAUCUAGUGUUAUAGGGGUGACUUGCCAGGAUGCCAACAAACUAACCACCUAAAUAGAACCUGUCUUAACAAUGCACACACAAUAACUUGGUCAAUUUUGAAGCAUUUAACAGACAGGGAAUCGCAUAUUGGGGAUGCGAUGCACCUGAGCAGUUAAACGUUUCUAAAUGCUUUGCGACGGCUUAUGUGUUUCAUCCCGGCUCUUUUCCCAAAUUCAAAUCCUGAUUUUCUUGUGCCGUGUUUCACUCUUUUAGUUCUCAUUCUCUCUUUUUUCCUUUUGUUUGGCCCUUUUUUUCUUUCUUCUAUCCUUUUUUCUUUUCCUCUCUUUUUUUCUUCUCUUUUCUUUUAUUUUAAGACUAUGAUCGAAUCAUAUGGAGAUUGCCUACGUAUCAUGAUGCCGCAAGAAUCAGAUCAUUACGUAGUUCAAGGAUAUAAAUACGAAAUGAAAGAAAAUCUUUUGGGUUUUCAAUACUUCAUUAAUAAAGUCACGUCAUCUUUUUUUGUUUUCUAUUACAAGGACUUAAAAGUACUGACGACUACAAAAGAAAACAUACAGACUCGAAAUAAACAGCUUUGAACAAAACUCUAGAAAGCAGUAAAGUACAGACUCGAAAAACUGAAAAGUCAAAAGUACAUGAGAGCCUCCACUAGUACUCUGGGAGCCUGCGAGACAUCAGCUGGUCUUUGCGCGGGCCUUCGCGCAAUGUCUUCUUUAAGGCCGUUUAAGUCAUCUAUUACCUGGUGGACGAAGGUCAUCAUAAAAGCAAAAAAAAUGGACCUAGUCAUGUCUUCACACUCGUGACAUUUCAUCACGACAUAGUGAGCUAUCUCCUUAAUUCUGGUUCUGAUAACUCCUUUUUCUUGAAGCAGACGCCCAAUUUGCUGUGCCCGGGCUUCCAACACUUGUGUGCUGGUAUUGUUUUGGUCCUGUAGUUGUUGCACACUUUCUUCUAGUCGGCCAAUUAGUGCGUAGCAGUGCUCCUUUUCUGUCUGAAAAUCUUUGAUUUGCUGGAUCAUUUCAUUCUCAAGGGCAAACAGCUUUUCCUUUAGAACUGUUAUUUCUUUGCCAUAUUUUUGUCUCAAAUGGUGGGCUUGUUCUUCUGCUCCUUUGGCCAACAUUGUUUGAGCAUUUAGCAAAUUCUUUUCGGCCUUUAUCAAGUCAGUUGCAUAGUCGUGUACCUACAUUCUUAUGUUACUGAUGAUUUUUUCAUAUCUUUCGAUCCUUACAGGCGUUUCGGCGGCUAUCCUCAUGUCCCGGAGUUGGGCUCGGAGAGCCUCGUUCUCUCGGGUCAAUUUUCUCUUUUCACCUUCGGUUACCUGUGCCUGUAAGUCAUUCUCAAAUGCGAGGUUCCUCAACUUUUCCUCUAAGGCGUGAAUGGUGGCUUGAUAUUUCUUUUCCUUUUCUCCCCAGGCCAAAUGCUCUCGGACUUUGUCAUCAAAAGCCUGAAUAUGAGGCCUUUUGGCGGGCCUUUCAGGCUCGGGCUCUGGUUCAUCAUUAAUGCAGUUUCUUCUUUCGAACCAUGUGGCAUAGCCUGGAUCUACUUCUCCUCUUGCAAGAUCGGGCACUUGGGUGUCCUCUUUUAAGUAUCGACAACCAUUCCAGAUUUGUUGGAUUAAAGCCUCGGAAAGUGGGGCUUCGGGGUAUAGCUCAAUAACUUGGACACUCAAAUCUUCAUCCUCAGGCACCACUUGAUAUCUUCCCAAUUGUCUUAGAACCCUUUGCGGUGCAUAUGGUUGGACACUUCUCAAGCCCAUCAAUAGCAAAUCGUUCUUUGUGGUUGUCAUGUGUAUGACUUCCCUCACUUGGAGCCAUCCUAAAGUCCACUCAAUUCGAUUCGCCUUUAAAGUUCUCAAGUGGGCGAUCCAAGAUUCAACCCCUUCUGGAGAGUUGUAAUCUUUUACCCUCUCCUCAUAACUCUCAAUGAAGUUGCUCUUGCUUGGGCUGUAGCUUAUAAAUUUUUGAUGAAGGCGAAGAUGUUCAAUUAACCACAUUUGUAGAAGGAUAUUACAACCUUCAAAGAACGUCGCCCCAGACUUACACCGUGUUAAUGCCCGAUAGAUAUCCGACAAUAUAAGUGGAGCAAGUGUGUGAUCUUCUUUGGCAGUUAUGACUUGUGCAAUUCUAGCCAUACGGAUAUCAAUCGUCCCUUUUUCAUUUGGGAAGACUAUGAUGCCCAGGAAUGCCACUAUGAAAGCAAAGUGACGAUGAAUUUUCCAAGUAUCUUUACUUUGCUUGUUGUUCAACCCCUUUUCAUGCGUUUCAAACCCAUUUGGAUGUCUAUACCUGGAGUACAGGAAGUAGAAAGAGCAACAUCCAUUGUUUAUAUUGUUCUUCCUUAUUUGUUUACUGAUGUUCAAAAUAUCAAAGAACCGGCGCACAGAGGGAGGCCUUGGGAAUAUAAGUUGCUAUUUUCUCAAGUUCCGGCCGAAACCAGUAUAUCCGGCUAUUUCCUCUAGGGUGGGAGUGAGCUUAAAGUCUGAGAAGCGGAAGACAUUGUGAACGGGAUCUCAGAAGGGCACUAAAGUCUUGAUCAGAUCAUUCCGGGGCUUGACCUUCAUAAUAUCCGUAAGAGCACCCAAAUGUUCUACUACCCAGUCUUGACCAUCUUUACCCAAGUCAUACCACCACAUUUGAAGCUAUAGUGGAGCCUGCUCUACAAUAUUUCACGGCGGGUUCUAGACAGUGUUCAUUUUGUACGUGUGAAUGGUUAGGGUUAGGGUUGACUCUAGUUCGGAAGACAGACCAGCAGACUCUUUUGCAAAAACCAGUUUUCAAUUUUGUUUCAAAGGGAAAUCACCUGAAGGUGACUAUUUGUGCGGCGUUGGCCAAAAUGGUCAUCUUUGCAAUAAUGGCCCCUUCCCACUUUCAAAUAAAGUUUUGAGGCCGAGGUAAGACACUUUAUGGGAAAAGUGAUGCCUUAUUGACAGACAUGUCCGUUCUUGACGAGACUAGCCAUUUGAUAAUUUAAAGGUAUUCUAUGGCUAUUCUGGCAAAAACGGCGCAGGACUUAAUCGAAGCUGGGUCGGUUUUAUUUUCUAACCAAUGGACAUACUUUAUUUAUUUGAUUGGAAAAAUUGGGGUCGGUACCGAUGAGAUUUGCUUACGUAUCUCACAUCCGGUGAGAAUCAGACUCGUGUAGUUCGGUCAGUUUUGACAUAAUUGGAAGAGCAUGAUAUUGAUUUACUUUCAUUUUUGAAAUGCAUUUUUUUUCUUUUUUUUCAAAACUUUUGGCAGAGUUUCGAGGCAUUUUCAAAUACCAGGGUUUUCAGAACCGGGUGAAUUUUCUAUCCUACCUCACUCUUGUUUUUUCUUUUAUUUUCUUAACCGAUCAACAAAUAAGCCGAAAUAAAUUCACACAUAGCAGGUAAGAUGCAUCAGGAUGGUCUUUAUUUCGGGUAUACUUGUCCUAGACGGACCCAACCCCUAUGUUGAGUCCCCUAAAUCAAACGCACGUGAUGCAAACAAACGUUCCUACUAGGGAUCUGGCAUAAGGUUAUGUUAUUCUAGGUUUAAACCUGGGGGUGUGUUCUAGACAUGGCUUACCCAAGCGGGACAACUUGAGCCGUGGUGGGAGCGACGUACCGGGAGCACGAAAGUCUACCCGGCCUAAUGGCUGAUCCAUCCUCGUUUUAUUUGGUAUGACCUCUAACAGAAAAGUGGGCCAUACAUACGUGUGCACCAUAUUUUUAGAAGACUCGGAAGGGAGGCGUAAGAAAAUAAUUUAAUAUAGUUCAAAUAAUAUCAAAGCGGUAAAUGAGCGGCAAUUAGCACAUUAGACCCACAAAUACAGUAAUAACGAUCAAUAAAGCCAAGUAAAAAUCACAACAACAAGCUCGAAUUCUUGAACCCUGAACCAGAGAUUCUGGGUUCGAUCCCCAACAGAGUCGCCAGAACUGUCACACCUCAUUUUUCCCGAGGGGGAUAGAGAGUUUUUCCAAUUAAAGUGACAUUAUUCAAAAUCGUAUUAUUUAAUUAUUUCAGAGUCGCCACUUGGGAUAAUUUAUGGUGUCCCAAGUCACCAGUUUAUUUUAAAUCCCAAAUCGAGGAAAUUUGACUCUGUUUAACGUCUGCGAAAAUCAAAAGACCGGGUAAGGAAUUCUGUUAACCCGGGAGAAGGUAUUAGGCACUCCCGAAUUCCGUGGUUUUAGCAAGGUUGCUUUAAUCAUACAUGGAUUAAUUAAAUUGUUUAAUUACGUGUUUUAGAACCUAUGUGCGUUUUACCUUUUACCGCUUUUAAAUUACUUUAUUAUGGCAUUAUGGAAUUAUCUUGAAAAUGAACCACGUGUGUGUGAAUCUGUUUGUUUGGUGUGCCAAAAAUCAUGUCACGCGUACGUGUACACAAUUAAUAACAAUUUAUUAAAAUUGUUCGGCCAAAGUCGCGCGAACGCGUACUUUGAUUUAUUUGGGAAAAUUAUAAUCAUGUAACGCGAACGUGUACACAAUUACGAUAAUAGAUUAAAUGUGUGCCUAAAAGCAUUUCUACAGGUGUUCAUGAAUUAAUUAUUUUUCUAGGAUUUGAGAUUAAUGUGAGGCCAUGAAUCAUGUAUAAGAGUGUGGAAGAAGCGUACAUUUCAACUAAUGAGAGCUAGAAGAAUUAAUUAAAUCUAAGUUGUUGGAAUUGUCUGAUGAUUGAUAGACAUUCACCUUUAAAAGGAAAAUGGGUCAUCCUAUGAACAAAUAAUUGACGCUGAAUCAAUUAUUGAUAGAGUGUCAAACAGACUUGAAUUUCGGCUCAGGUCCAGUUUUAUAAAGUACCUCAUAAUCCCAAUUAUUUCCCCAUUACUACGGUGGCCCAGACUUAUUUGUGUGGCAAUAAUUGCAGAGAAUUAAUCAGACACUUUACCAAGUCAAUUUAUAACACCAAGUCAGCUAAGUUCAUAUCCCAAAACGUAAUAAGCUACAUUUGAAGAAGAAAAGCACUAGUACAAUGGUUCCAAUUAUAUAAAUAAUUUCCUAAUGAAUUACUCAUGCCAUUAAGCUCUUGUGAUUCAAAUUUCAGUCUACUUUGUCUUAAAGUUUACUGCUCAAACAACUGCUUUUAACAUUCAAACGAAUUCAAAAUUGUGACUGAAAAUCUGUACAUAUACGCCUCAAACAGAUCUUUCACCAAGUGCUACAUUCACUAAAUCUCCGUUGGUCUCUAUUACCAAUGAUAGAAAAAUAAAACAACAUGCUUAAACAUUCAUAAUACAAAUUUGAACCAUUUUAUCAAACCAAUACUCAAGAAUUAAAGUUGAACUACCCAUAUAAAGGGAACUUCAAAUUUCAACUAAAUGGAUUUUCAACUAAAUUAUAACUAUAACAAGAAAUAAAAUUACAUAGUCCUGACUGAUUGAGUUUACUACACUUGAUGAAAUGCUAUAAUAACUGUAACCUUCGAUUUCAUCCACAACGCUUGUCAAUUUGACGAACAAUAGCUUACAACAUUUCAAAAUGGCUUGAUUUGGGUUUGAGACUCACAGAUCUGGCCUAUUGAUGGCCAGACCCAUAAGUUGAAGCCAUGACAUAACAUUAUCAGUCCUUCACAAAUAGCUUGACAUGUUGUCUUAACAAACCAUUAGGAAGUCUAUAGAUUAGAAUUCAUGAUCAACAAAUUAUGAUGUGGAGAUGCCAAUAAUAGAAACUAAUAGUAAUACAUGUGCUUAAGGACAUUCAUAACAGCAGCAGACAGGUAAGAGGUGAGCGAAUGUCAAUUCAAGCCAUUCAAACACUUAGAACAUUUCACAAGAAGAUAUAUAACAUCAUGUAAGUACAACGACCAUAUGAAUUUCACAGAUUUCAAGCUCAAAUUGAUUGUGCUAAGCUCAGAAUCAUACAAAGUUAUCAAUGUGUACCUUAAAGCAGCAAAAGUAAGUAGAAGAGAAAAUAAGUCUCUGAAAUUCUGAGAAGAAACAGCAGCAAGAACACAAAGCAGAAAAACCAAAACCACAGCAGCCUCAAACUCAAACCAUGAAUCCCAGCAAAAGAACAGUGGCAAAUGAAAAGAAACACAGCCUGAAUUUUUUUCUUUUGUUUUCUAGCUUUGAACUUAAAAAGGAGAUCAGAUUGGAAAAUGAGGAGAAAGAGUCUUGGAAUAUUUUUUCAGGGCUCUCUUACGCGUCCGAAAAUUCCUGUUUUAGAAUGCAGAAUGAGUCCUAUUAUAUAGGCUAUGUGUGUGUAAUCAGAGAGAAUGAGAGAGAGUCCCAAAAAAAAAAUAGAAUCUGUCAGGCCCUCCCUAAAAUUUAGGAAAAUAGCAUCUUUCAAAACUGAAUUUGGACAGCUGUCCUUGUUUCUAGAUGGUUCUUUUUAUUUCUUACCCUUUAACUUCUGAAAAUUAUUUCUUGUGACACCAACUUGAAAUUAACUCUGAUUUUUUUAAAAAUGCAUUUUAGUCCCUUCUAGAGACUUCCCCAACAAACAAAUCAGAUUCCCUAAUUUUCCAAAUCCCUUUGACCCCUUUAACUCCUAUUAAUUACACAUGAGCCAUAGUAGAAAGAAAUCAUGUAAAUCAGUCCCAAUAAACAAAGAAGCAAAAUUAAUCUAAUUAAUUCAAUAAUUAAAACUAACUAGCAUGCAAUUGAGCUGUUAAAAUCACAUAAACCCUUAAAACAAAACAGACAUGUUGCGCCUUAAAACAAAUAGCCAAAAUGUUAAUUUACUGUUAAUUAACUAAUUACUAAGCUAAACUAAUUAAACUGAGAUAAACGUUCAUCAAACAAGUUCUGAUUAAAUACCUAAAACACAUUGUUCUUCUCUCUCUUUUUUUUUUUUAAUCUUUCUUAAAGCAAACAAAAUAACAAAACAAGAUAAAGAGGGCAAGGAUGUACCUAGUAAAGAAAAACAAAACUACCCAUCUUGAAGCGAAACAAGAGGCUCGUCCGGAUUCCGAUGAUUCCGUAAUGAACUAAAGCUUACAUUAAUUAAUUGUUCUUGACAAGAACAAAUAAUUAAUGUUAGUUUCAACUCAAAACAGCUUGAACUUGAUGAAGGAAUCAGAAAGAACGAAAUUAGGUUUUCUGGCCGUUUUCAGAUCUAAAAUUCGAGGAUUUUGAGUGGUGUUUUAGGAAAAUUGAAGGUAGAUUUGGAUUGAGGAUGAGGUGAGGAGUGUGGGGUGUGAAUUUGGGCGGAUUUGGAGGUCGUUUGGUGGUGCCAGAAUGGCGACCGCCGGUGGAGGUUUGUGGGAGUUUGGGGGCGGCUAGGGUUAGGCUGAGUAAGAGAGAUGGAGAAGUGAGAG